CUACGGGGCGCUGCAGUGAGGAAUAUUGCACAAUGGGGGAAACCCUGAUGCAGCAACGCCGCGUGGAGGAUGACGCAUUUCGGUGUGUAAACUCCUUUUAUCAGAGAAGAAAAUGACGGUAUCUGAUGAAUAAGCUCCGGCUAACUCCGUGCCAGCAGCCGCGGUAAUACGGAGGGAGCAAGCGUUAUUCGGAAUCACUGGGCGUAAAGGACGCGUAGGCGGGUUUGUAAGUCAGGUGUGAAAUCCUAUGGCUCAACCAUAGAACUGCACUUGAAACUGGGGACCUAGAGUAUGGAAGGGGCAGGUGGAAUUAGUGGUGUAGGGGUAAAAUCCGUAGAUAUCACUAGGAAUACCGAAAGCGAAGGCGACCUGCUGGGACAUUACUGACGCUGAGGCGUGAAAGCGUGGGGAGCAAACAGGAUUAGAUACCCUGGAGUC
Molecule: ribosomal RNA, 438 nt
Filed under: uncultured bacterium
Lineage: Bacteria
Description: partial 16S ribosomal RNA
Rfam family: Bacterial small subunit ribosomal RNA
Source: RNAcentral